GACGAAAUUAUGUUUUAUCUAGAGAUGGUAGAAAGAUACCAGUAUCUGAACUUGUUGGGAAGACAGUAGGCCUGUAUUUUGGAGCAUACUGGUGCCCUCCUAGCCGUGCCUUUACUGCCCAGCUAAUAGAAACCUACAAUGAGCUGGAAACCACAGGGGAUGGAUGCUUCGAAAUUAUAUUGGUGUCCACAGAUCGAGACCUUAUAGAAUUUAAUACCAACCUAGGUAACAUGCCAUGGCUUGCC
Molecule: unclassified non-coding RNA, 245 nt
Filed under: Hevea brasiliensis (rubber tree)
Lineage: Eukaryota; Viridiplantae; Streptophyta; Magnoliopsida; Malpighiales; Euphorbiaceae
Source: RNAcentral